Long non-coding RNA from Herpailurus yagouaroundi (jaguarundi), 2227 nucleotides. RefSeq lists it as uncharacterized. Lineage: Eukaryota; Metazoa; Chordata; Mammalia; Carnivora; Felidae. The transcript is spliced from 5 exons. The record is from RefSeq and is a predicted model, not a curated record.
ACAUGUAGAGUCCAGAAGGCUACAGGAAGGUGUUUGGAUUUUUAUUUGUAAUGCCUGGGAAUCACUGAAGAGCGUCAAGCAGGAGAAUGAUGUGAUUAGAUCCCCCUAGCUGCUCAAAGGAUAACAAAGGAAGGGGAAAACUGGGCUUUGAGUUUCUCGAGGUGUAGAAGGUCUAUGAUGUUGCUCUGGCAAUAGAUGGCUAAAGAGAACGGUUCAAGGCCAACGUCAUCAAAGCUGGGAGGCCAAAGGUGUUAGGAGAUAUAUCUACAUGGAUGUUGAUAUAUCCACAACAGCAUCAGGAAUUGAGAUGGUGAGAGGAAAGGUCUUGGGGGGAAGGAACAGAGAAAGGUAAAUCAGUGGAACCAAUAUUCUGAAUAUGGAGAAGCCUUGCAUCAGAGCAGUGACUGGGGAGGAGAGGCGUUAAUGACCCCGUGACUCUGACCACAUCUCUCCCUUGCUCAGCUGCUCCAAAAGUUCCCUGUUACCCACUGGAGAAAGUUCAAGCAUCUUAGCACUUCCCUGCACAAGUUCAUCUUGACAGCCUCACCUCCUGCCUCCACCCUCCCCCGAGACUCAUUGAACUGCUUGAGUUUUCCCAUUCACACCUCUCUCCCUUUGCACACACUGUUCCUUUCAUCUCAAGUGUCUGUCCCUUCUUCCCACCCUUGCAAGAACCUCUCUUUACCCUUUAUGGCUUAGUUCAAAUGUCCUACUUCUAUAAACAUUUUUCUCAAAUGCCCCAGCUGUUCAGGAAGCUGACAUUUAUUGAAGAUCUGCCAUGUGCUAGACUCUGGGCAAGGCACAUUCAUUUGGCCUGCCCUCUGUGCUGCCCAUCCAAGCUUGCCAGGUCUGCCAACAGCAUAGAGACCGGCCCAGUGUUAGAGCUUCCAGACUUGGCUCAGUAAUCACUGAACCCGAGAACCAGGCUCCAUUGGAAUUUCAUCAACAGGAAGGGCUGGGCAGGUUUCUUCUUAUUCCCUUACCUUAACCCAACCUCGGCAACUUCUACAGCUAUAAACAACAAAGGACACUUAAUACGUGAGACGCGAUGGUCUGUGAAGCAAUGUUCCUGAUUCAUUCGGAAGUUAUGGUCAGGUAUUAUUGUGGUUUGGCCUUGUCGGAGCAUGCCAACAGACAGCAGAAUCACCAGCUACAUUUUGCUAAGAGAGAUUGUGCCAAACUGAUGCACUUGACCGCCCGAGGAAACAACUCCCUGUUCUUCCAGGUUAACGAUCUCAAGUAGAUCAAUCAAUAUUGUCAGAGCCUGCGGCUGAAGUAAAUUUUACCCGAAUUCUGGCACAAGACACAGGAGAAGGAGACCAAGAAAGACAAGCUACAGGGGCCAUCCUCGGAACACAACUUCGCAAAGUGCUGGCCGGCAGCCUGGUCUCCAGAAGUCACGCUGACUUUAUCCUUUUAUGGGUAUAGAGAACGAUCCUUUUAUAGAUUGCCUCAGCCCCACUCCCCACGUCCUGCCAUCUUGAAUUCCUGGUCAGCAUUUGCCCUCCAGAGAAAGGUUGAACCUCCCGAGGCUGAGGUAACCCAUAGCUAGUCUGUGCUGUCCAGAAGAUGGCAUGGGGUCCCACAAAGGAGGUACAAUCUCACGCAGCCAAAGGAGUCUUUACGGAUGAAACCUGAACGGGACAGAGAGAGCUUUGACCUUCUGCCUAACACGUUGAGUCAGCUGGUAGUUGAGUUCGGUUGGUUGGCUGUGUCUCAGAUGUCAGUAGGAGACGAAGCAAAGAUGUUCUGCUUGCUGAAGUUUUUUUUCCUUUCUCCAUGGACCAGAUGUUCUUUUGGAAAGAGCCUUGGAUUCGGAAUCGCAAAAACCUGGAUUUAAACCCUUUUCUGUCAUUUACCCUAGUGACCUCCCUAAGCCCAAUGCCCUCGCCUAACCAGUGAAAAUCUCACAGUCCCCAGCUGAUGAAGCAACCAGCUGACAAGCGUCUGGAUACGCCAGUAACUGCGACUUGAAACUAUAUGUCACCCAGUGCUCUGGGGAAGGGUGGGAGACGUAGAGGUGGUGGUAACUCAGGCUGGCCUGGAGGUCCCUGCCCUGGGGGAGGCUCAAGUCCUCCGUGGUUUGUGACCCAGCCCGGGCGAGGCAGGAAGUAUGGGGCCUCCUCAGGCAGAGGGCCUGUCUCCCCAGUUCACAUGUGAGCACCUCCAUACCAGGGCCCCGUCUGACUGCUCCCUCUGGUAGGGGCACAAUCUGUGUUUAAAGGAA